This 828-nucleotide long non-coding RNA is filed under the name Homo sapiens (human). RNAcentral describes it as "HSALNT0273655". Lineage: Eukaryota; Metazoa; Chordata; Mammalia; Primates; Hominidae. The record is from RNAcentral.
UCGAGACUACUGCUACCCUGAGCAUCUUUCGUCUCAUGAGGAAGUGGAGGCUGAAUUAUAGUUCCACAGCAUCGGGAGCCAGAAGCGAGGUGGGAAUCCAAGUCUUCCGGAUUCCCAGCUCCGUGAUUCGUGCCUGUCACAAAUUUGGGACCAAAAGCCACCUGUCUGUGGGAUUAACAACAGUCGAGGCUAUGACUGACAUCGUGCCCUAGCGAGUGCACAGGUCUGGCCAGCUGGGCGGCUGGACCUGGCUCUCUCGCCUUGGGUCCGUUCAGCCCAUUUUGUGGAUGGAUCAGGUGAAGUGUGGCUCCUGGGGCUGCUGGCUGCUUUCCAGUGUGCGGUUGCCAAGCAUGUGAAUGAGGCUUUCCUGAGCCACAGCUUCCAUGGCGCAUGCCGGAGGAACCCUCGCAUGGAACCUAAGGGCGCCAGAGGCGGAGUUGGAGGCGUCUGAUUGUAUUUACAUUUGUUGCAAUUUGAAGAAAUGUAGUUAGAAGUCCAUCUGCAGAGAGAUUAUGACCAUCGCUUCUGUCUGACCAAGGUCUGUUUUCCUGAUCGGUUGGAUGCCUCAGCGUGCAUUCCCAGGACUUUAUGAGAUGAUCCACUGAAGGAUUUCAGCAAGAACAUUCUGGAGUGUCAACUGAUACGUUUUUCAGUCUCAGCUUGCUCACUGUUUGAGUAGUGUCACAUGUACAUGCGUGUUAUUAGAGGCGAAUGCACGUUUUUGUUACUGAGAGAGUGGCCCUAGAGCAGAUGCCAGCGAACUGCAGCCCACAGCCCGAAUCUAGCCUGCCGCCUCUUUUCAUGUGGCUCACAAGCUAGUCAUAGUAU